RNAcentral lists this transfer RNA (73 nucleotides) under Bacteroidota bacterium. RNAcentral's name for it is "Bacteroidetes bacterium (freshwater metagenome) tRNA-Phe". It matches the Rfam family "tRNA". From Rfam's summary of the family: Transfer RNA (tRNA) molecules are approximately 80 nucleotides in length. Their secondary structure includes four short double-helical elements and three loops (D, anti-codon, and T loops). Further hydrogen bonds mediate the characteristic L-shaped molecular structure. tRNAs have two regions of fundamental functional importance: the anti-codon, which is responsible for specific mRNA codon recognition, and the 3' end, to which the tRNAs corresponding amino acid is attached (by aminoacyl-tRNA synthetases). tRNAs cope with the degeneracy of the genetic code in two manners: having more than one tRNA (with a specific anti-codon) for a particular amino acid; and 'wobble' base-pairing, i.e. permitting non-standard base-pairing at the 3rd anti-codon position. The record is from RNAcentral. Lineage: Bacteria; Pseudomonadati; Bacteroidota.
GGUGAGGUAGCUCAGUCGGUAGAGCAAAAGACUGAAAAUCUUUGUGUCGGGGGUUCGAUUCCCUCCCUCACCA